AGAAUCCAAAGGGAUGUUGCUGGCCUUUCAUUAGACCGUGCACUCCCGCCUUCAUAUCCACCUGUGCACUUUGACGUAGACUAGGAUUGAUUUCCGAGUCUAUGUUUUUCAUAUACUCUUUAUUAUUGAAGUCAAUGAAUGUAUUAGGCUUCGGCCAAUAACACAAUACAACUUUCAACAAUGGAUCUCUUGGUUCUCGCAUCGAUGAAGAACGCAGCGAAUUGCGAUAUGUAAUGUGAAUUGCAGAAUUCAGUGAAUCAUCGAAUCUUUGAACGCACCUUGCGCCCUUUGGUAUUCCGAAGGGCAUGCCUGUUUGAGUGUCAUUAAAUUCUCAACUUCAACACUUUUUGUAUUGAAGCUUGGAUGUUGGAGGGUUUGCAGGCAUAUUUAAUGUCAGCUCCUCUUAAAUGCAUUAGCAGGACUUGUACGUUUGGCUCUGGUUUGAUAAUCCUAUCUAUGCCAUUGCUGAAAUGUCAUUGUUCAGCUUCUAAUGGUCCAUCUUAUUGGACUGUCUCUUCGGAGGCAUAUCUUUUGACUUGACCUCAAAUCAGGUAGGACUACCCGCUGAACUUAAGCAUAUCA
Molecule: ribosomal RNA, 582 nt
Filed under: Clavulinopsis laeticolor
Lineage: Eukaryota; Fungi; Basidiomycota; Agaricomycetes; Agaricales; Clavariaceae
Description: Ramariopsis laeticolor eukaryotic LSU rRNA
Rfam family: 5.8S ribosomal RNA (bases 170-323)
Source: RNAcentral